AGUCGAGCGGUAACAUUUCUAGCUUGCUAGAAGAUGACGAGCGGCGGACGGGUGAGUAAUGCUUGGGAAUAUGCCUUGAAGUGGGGGACAACAGUUGGAAACGACUGCUAAUACCGCAUAAUGUCUACGGACCAAAGGGGGGGAUCUUCGGACCUCUCGCUUCUUGAUUAGCCCAAGUGAGAUUAGCUAGUAGGUGAGGUAAAGGCUCACCUAGGCGACGAUCUCUAGCUGGUUUGAGAGGAUGAUCAGCCACACUGGGACUGAGACACGGCCCAGACUCCUACGGGAGGCAGCAGUGGGGAAUAUUGCACAAUGGGCGAAAGCCUGAUGCAGCCAUGCCGCGUGUGUGAAGAAGGCCUUCGGGUUGUAAAGCACUUUCAGUUGUGAGGAAAGGUUAGUAGUUAAUAACUGCUAUCUGUGACGUUACUCGCAGAAGAAGCACCGGCUAACUCCGUGCCAGCAGCCGCGGUAAUACGAGGGGUGCAAGCGUUAAUCGGAAUUACUGGGCGUAAAGCGUACGCAGGCGGUUGGUUAAGCGAGAUGUGAAAUCCCCGGGCUCAACCUGGGAACUGCAUUUCGAACUGGCCAACUAGAGUAUGAGAGAGGGUGGUAGAAUUUCCGGUGUAGCGGUGAAAUGCGUAGAUAUAGGAAGGAAUACCAGUGGCGAAGGCGGCCACCUGGCUUGAUACUGACGCUGAGGUGCGAAAGCGUGGGGAGCGAACAGGAUUAGAUACCCUGGUAGUCCACGCCGUAAACGAUGUCAACUAGCCGUUUGUGUCCUUGAGACGUGAGUGGCGCAGCUAACGCACUAAGUUGACCGCCUGGGGAGUACGGCCGCAAGGUUAAAACUCAAAUGAAUUGACGGGGGCCCGCACAAGCGGUGGACCAUGUGGUUUAAUUCG
Molecule: ribosomal RNA, 902 nt
Filed under: uncultured prokaryote
Description: partial 16S ribosomal RNA
Rfam family: Bacterial small subunit ribosomal RNA
Source: RNAcentral